GUUGGUGGGGUAAUGGCCUACCAAGGCGACGACCGGUAACCGGUCUGAGAGGCUGACCGGUCACACUGGAACUGAGAUACGGGCCAGACUCCUACGGGAGGCAGCAGUGGGGAAUAUUGGACAAUGGGCGCAAGCCUGAUGCAGCGACGCCGCGUGGGUGAUGACGGUCUUCGGAUUGUAAAGCUCUUUCAGUAUGGGGGAAGCUGCAGGAUUCUUCUUGGUUUGACGCUAGGUACAGAACAAGCACCGGCUAACUUCGUGCCAGCAGCCGCGGUAAUACGAAGGGUGCAAGCGUUGAUCGGAAUUACUGGGCGUAAAGAGCGCGUAGGUGGUUCCGCAAGUUGGAUGUGAAAACCCAUGGCUUAACUGGGGGCGUGCAUGCGAAACGGGCAGACUGGAGUACUGUAGGGGAGAGUGGAAUUUCCUGGUGUAGCGGUGGAAUGCGCAGAUAUCAGGAAGGAACACCGGUGGCGAAGGCGAGUCUCUGGGCUGUAACUGACGCUGAGGAGCGAAAGCGUGGGGAGCGAACAGGAUUAGAUACCCUGGUAGUCCACGCCGUAAACGGUGUCUACUAGGGGUGGGUUUCCUUCCUUUAGGGAUCCGUGCCGCAGCUAACGCAUUAAGUACCCCGCCUGGGGAGUACGGCCGCAAGGUUAAAACUCAAUGGAAUUGACGGGGGCCCGCGCAAGCGGUGGAGCAUGUGGUUUAAUUCGAUGCAACGCGAAGAACCUUACCUGG
RNAcentral lists this ribosomal RNA (738 nucleotides) under Mycobacterium sp. M 82. RNAcentral describes it as "bacterial SSU rRNA". It matches the Rfam family "Bacterial small subunit ribosomal RNA", at positions 248 to 978 of the family's 1533-position model. The record is from RNAcentral. Lineage: Bacteria; Bacillati; Actinomycetota; Actinomycetes; Mycobacteriales; Mycobacteriaceae.